Long non-coding RNA from Alligator mississippiensis (American alligator), 6356 nucleotides. RefSeq lists it as uncharacterized. NCBI's taxonomy places the organism in Eukaryota, Metazoa, Chordata, Crocodylia, Alligatoridae. The transcript is spliced from 3 exons. The record is from RefSeq and is a predicted model, not a curated record.
UUUCUCUUCUCCCCCCGACUCCGUUUCUGGAAGCCCACAUCAGCUGAAACGCGAUCGCCGGGGACCUGGAAAGCACCAGCAGCCGCCGAGGUGUGAAGGCAGCGGGGCACGGCCAGCCAGAGGCGCCGGGGUCCCUUCGCAGGGCUUGGUAACACAGCAAUCAGGCACCAGGAAAGAAAGCAGUUUGCCGCUGCCCACAGCCUCUUCCCCAGCGCGCAUCAGAUGACUCCCUGGUUUUCCACCCAGCUGGAGUCCUGCUUGAAACCUUGGAUUGAAAGGGUAAGCGCUUCUCUAGAGGUGGAUUUGUGGCAGUUUGCUUGGGGAGGUGGCGAGCGGCGAGAUCGCAGCGAGGCAGUCUUUGAACAGGAAUAAAUAUUUCCUAUCCCCCCUCCACCACCAUCACCACCCCCAUGCGAACCCCUCAAUCCGAGCAAGAUUCCUAGCGGAGGGAUCUCCUGUCUCCCCACUCACCGACCAAAUCAAUCCCUCCCUCCCCCCUGAAUUUGGCAACCGCGGGCAGCUCCCGAGCUCCGCGCCCCUUGGCUUAAUUGUUUCGAUGCUCUCCAUUCCCUCCCCCCGCAGCCCCGCAGAAUCGCCAGGCCGGGGAGAGGGACCUGCCUUUGUACACUUGUACAUCGCGAGGGGCAGUUUCCCGAGGCACUGAUCGCUGGGGGGAGGGUCCAGCACCCUCAGUGAUUACGGCGGGGAAGAGAGGAAGGUAGAGCCUCACAAACAUGGCUUGCGAGAAUCGAUGAACAAAGGUACUUAAUGCUGAGGCGAGCCUGGCUCAGGGCAGCCGCCGCGCUCAGAGGCAAAGGUGUAAGUUGAUCAACAGAAAGCAGUGAUGGCAUGGGAUUUUGCCUCCCCUUGUGUGCAGCGUGUGUGUGUGCAUGUGUAUGUGUGUGUGUAUGCGCGGGUGGGGGCUAGGGGUGGGGUGGGCAGAGAUCCGACAGUUUAAGGAGGUUUGAAUUGAAUAUGCACCCAGAGGCAGCGGUCUCGUAGGAAAUGCUGUGCUCGUAAGUCAGGCUGCCCCGCGUGUGGAGGCAGCUCCAGCUUUGCUGAGCUCCUCGCUUCCUGCUGGAGGGGCCGGCGCUGGUGGGAGCCGGGCAGGACGGAGCUGUCCACGGGCUUCGGUGCUGAAUGCUUGCGACCAUUUUGGAAUCUGUUGCUUGCCAGCGCCAGCCCUUCCCAGCGCCCGGAGCGGAUGGCUGGGGAGAAUAGGACGCCAGACAGGCACAGAGGAAGAGAGCAGGGACUCCCCAGGAUUGGAGAUCGGGCAGCCGUUGGAUAUGGGGACGGGAUCCCUCGGUCACCCUGUGGAUGCUCCGUCUGCUCUAGGGGAAAUACAGUUAUGGAUUUACUGGCCCGGUGCAGCACUCCAGCGGCAGCAGCAGCAGCAGCAGCAGCUUUCUGACUCUCUUCGGUGACGGGUAUUCUUGGGUGGAUAAUACGGAUUACGUUGUUAUUGCUUAAGAAUACGCGUAGUCGAGGAGAGUACCGCGGCGGGCAGGCAGCGCCACCGCCCCAGCCCCAGCCCCAGCCCGGCAGCUGGCUCCUCAACUGCUAGAGUGGCCAAGGUAGCUCCUUUUUGCUCUUUUCCUACAUGCUUCGCUCUGUCUGUGUCUGUGCCCAGGGGACCCCGGCGAGGCUCCGAGAGCGAGGGGGGCCCCGCGGGGGUGGGCGCUGGCAGCAGGGGGGCUCCAGGCGUCCCCCUCCCCCACCCCGACCAGCCCGCGGGAGCUCAGGGGACUGGGCUCCCCCCAGCCCGGCUGGUGGUGACUAGGACUUUUGUCUCAGCUUCCCUCCUUCCCUCUGGGCAGCGGGCAGGUAGCGGCGGUGGCUCCCGGCAGGGGCAGGGCAGAUCAAGGGCCUGCCUCGGGUCCCCGCCCCCGGGAAAGGGAGAUCACUUGAGAUCUUCUCUGAAGGCGGUCGCCUGAUCCACUGGGGGGUCUGUAGGGAGCAGCCUGGCUGGUCCCGCCGGGGAGGGGGGCGGGACGGUGCUGCCGCUGGAGGCGCGCAGGAGGCGCAGGCUGGAGGCUCGGGCUGGUUCCCGGGAAGGCGAGCGGGGAGCACGGGCCCCGGGGCGCAGAGCGCGAGCCUGCGCAGGGAGACGGGCGCGCUGGCUGCUGAUCUCCAUUCCCUGGGCUACCCAGGCAGGGCCGGCGGCCAUCCCGCCCAGCUCGCAGGCAGCUGUGGGAGAGUCCGGCACAGGAGCAAGCCACGCACACCCCCAGGCUGCCCAGGGGCGCACCGCACCGCACCGCAGCGCAGCGCCUAUCUGCCCCGCCCGGGCCCCUCGCCCCGCCUGCGUCGCCCGCAGGGCCCGGGCUCCGCUCCCCGCUCCCCUUCUGCCUCACGCCGCGGCGGGCAGCGCUGGGUCCCGGCCGGGGGGACAGGCACGUUUUUCUCCCUCGCCUCCUCUGCAGGCUUAGGGACGUAGUAGCCCUGCAGGAAGAGCCGAGAACCAAAGUCCCGUCACAGGACCCGGGGAGACGCUUGUCCAGGCCUGGCUCUGGCACUCAAUGAUGGGAGCCGCAGCCAGGGCCCCUGCAGCUCCCGUGUCUUUUGUCUGGACUGGGACAUGGGCUGCACUGAACGCGGGGGAGGACGCCCCCCCCCCCCCCGGGAUCCACUGGCUUUCGGGGGCGCGCGGGCGGGCGGGCAGAGAGGCUCUCCAGGGACGGGGCUGGAGCCUGCACUUACCACACGGGCUGUGGCCGCUGCACAGCGCCCCGGCUCGCGCACACACCCCGGCCGCGCACCCCAGGCAGGGAGGCGGCGGGAGCGGGGUGCUACAUCUUCUCACUUCACUUCACUUUCCCACUAGCUAACGACUCCCCCUCAAAAACAGACCAGGACAGACAUUAUUUAAAAAAAAACAGACAGUGCAGCUCAAAGUCAAUGCUCAGUAAGAGCCCCUCCCCUCCACCCAUUUCUAGCCCGGGAAGCUGAGGCGCCACCACAGCCACCGCCCAGAGCCGGCUUCCCGUCAAGGAGAGCCCCUUAGCCGCGGCCGGAGAGAGUCCCAGGCGCAGAAGCCAUGAGCGAACCUCUUUUAGGAGCUUAGUUCACCUUGGAUCUGUGCUAAAACCCACGUAGGGGGGGCUGUUGUUGUUAUUGUUAUCAUUAUUAUCAUUAUUAUUAUCAUCAUCCAAUCGACACGAUCUCAACUUUCUGGCCAUCCAGUCCCUGGUUUUCUUUUUCCCUCCCCAUUGGGAAUGUCUAGCCCUCUGCAGCCCUCUCGCCAGUUUCCUCCUGUCCAAGUAACCAGGCUUUCCCUUGUCACUGGGUAGGGGCAGGAUGGCAGGCGCCUUUUGGGAGAGCUAUUUCUCUUAAGUGGGCAGCCACUUUUGUUAUUAGAAAGGCAUCAGGCGAGAAAAGACCUCUGCCAUGGGAUGGGGGAAAGGCCCCUUCCAGGCACACAGCCCCCCUGCCAAGCCCAGGGCUCGAGGCAGGGCUCAUUAUGACAAGGAAUCACUCCAGGUGAACUGUGAGGAGAGCACAGGCACCAGGGACUUUGCAGUGGUCUCAGCAGGCAAUAGCAAUAGUCGCAUACAAGUUCCCACCAGACUGCAACACUGAAGUAGUGCGGCCAGUGCACCAUUUUGCUAUCCUCUUCUGCUCAAAAAGAAAGGACGGAGGAAAAAAAAUAAACGGCUCGAAAAGAAAGGGAAAAUAAACAAUUGCCAUACGAUUGGCUCUUUCCUGCAGGAAACAAUCGCUGCCAUUCCCUACGGGUCAGUCCGAAGUCAGCAAUGCAGUAGGUGCAGUAAGUCUUGCAGGUGUUGGCUCCUGCUCUGGAGGGUGCGGCCCUCUGCACUCGGGAACAGGCUCUUGCAAAGGGUCCCUAUCCCUCGGACGGACAUUGUGACUGCCCCGCUAAAUGGCGCAGUCCUCAUCUCCCAGUAUCAUUUCUACUUUAGGUGACAGUAAAUUAAAUAGCCUUGCUAGUGCAACCUCCCCUUCCCCCGACACACACGCUUUGCCAGUCAGAAAGGCUUAGCCUGCCAAAGAGCCCCUACAUUUGGGGUUUCUAGUUUGUGACCCUGAAGUCCCGCAGAGUGUCACAUGCGCAGAGCUGGAACUGAGAGUUUGAUCUCUGGGCGUGAAACCAAAUGGAGACAGGGAGCUCCCUACCGGCUACACAGACGGCUCCUGUCCCGGGAAGUGUGUACAGCACCAGGCGCUGCCCGCUCCUGAACCGGCUUCUCAGGUGGUAGCUCCAGAUAAGAAGGUAGUAAAGAAACUGGCUGCAGGGCUAAACGUCCCACUUGCGCCCCAGCCCAGUCCCAUCUUCUAUAAAAACAGGCGCAUUCGCCCCCCUGGGUGCACCUAGCAGACCUUCCCAGCAUAGCUAGAGCUCUGGGUGAAAACUGGCUGAGCCUUUCCUGCUCGGAUUGGAAACUAAACACAUGGCACUCGUCUCCUUCAUCUUUGUACCUCUCCCCCCCCCCAUGUAUAACAUACAUAAAGACACAGUUCCGUUCAUAUUUUCUUUCACUGGUAACAGAGAGAAAGCACGCAUAGUCACCCACACCUUUUCCUAUUCAAGCUCUUUUCAUUCACGUUGUUCCACUUUUUGAUGCUAAACAUGUGCAACUCUGAGGCCAGAUUUCUGUCCUAAGUGAAUUAGAUCAGAAGCCAUUUUAAGUCAGACACAGAAGUGUGGUAAUGAUGAAACAGCUUUUUAGGAUGGAUUCGCACACAGUAUAACGAGGAUCAUUUUGAAUGUUGAUAAUCAAGGUUUUGAUAAUGAACUUGCAAGUGCAGGGUGGGGCUGGUAGAGAAUGUUUUCUGCUCUCACUCUUGCAUAGUAAUUGAAAUACCAACUAGGUUAUGCCUAAUUAUUUAAAAUAAUUACCAAAGGAAUCUUACCCUCCUCCCUUCAGUAGAGAGUAGCUCUCAUUGUUCCACAGACGUGUAGCACUGUUAUUCUUUAGACACGUCUUUGAUAAUAAUGCUGUGAUCCUCUUGCUUCUCUAAUACCACUUGAAAGCGGAUUUUUUUUCUUGUGGUUUAGUAUGUUCAGUAGCAGCAGAAAUAUUGUUAAACUGCACUUUAAAAAGACAUGCAGAGAGCUCCCAAGAUCAGUUGCUAAAUCAUAGUCAGGUUCAGCACUGUUACACAUUUACAUUCAUAAGUGCUGCAAGAACACCAAUUGAAACAGUAUUUUAAACAUCCAGGUUUGUAUUACAAACCUUCCUCUGAUCUGAGCUUUUAGUUGACAUUUUCCCUUGAGUCAUGACUCAAGUAUUAUCAGGAGUUCCCAUUUCAUCACAUAAAGGAUGUGGUUUUGUUUGCUUUUUGUUGGGUUCAGUAUCUUGUGCAGUAAAGAUUGAAUUUUUCCCCAUAAAUACAAGCUUGGCAAAACAUCUCUUUAUACUUGGUUUCCUAUAUCUGCAUUCUGUUUAAUAUGAUUAGCCCUUUCUGCUGAAUAAUGCCUUAACGAUAGGGCUGAUGCAUUUUUAAUGCCUGUACUCUUUGUCAUUGUCUAAAUUAACAUUUUGAUGAUUGUAGAUUUCUAUCCUUUAAAAUCUUUGGCAGAUUGUUAUGUUAUAUGGCUAAUAAGAGUAAAAAUAUAAGGUUAAAUCAGAGAAAUAUUAGAUAUUUCAAUUGCAAAAAAUAUUUUUAAAUGUCAGUUAAAUGCUCAAUUGCAUAAAGGCAACUAGAAUUACUUUUCCCAACAGUCUUGUUUAGGAAGCACCCUUUUCAGUUUCAGUAGUAGCACCUGGAAUUUGACAUGUAUGUAUAUUCAAAGUCUCAAAAAUCAGCUUCCAAGUAGCACAUAACUAAGAAUAACUUGUUUAUGCUAUGGGCCUGAUUCUGUGAUCACUUGACUUGAGUGGGACUACUCAUGGAAACAGGGUUACUCACCUAUAAAUCUAAAGCAGCUAGGGACCCAAUCCUGGCAUUUAACUCAAUGGGAAAACACAAACUGACUGUACUGUCUGGGUAGGAUAAGACCCUCAUUUAAAGGAAUUUUAGCAAGAUGUGUGGCAUAUACUUGAUGUAGUCUUAAAUAAAUCUGAAUCCUUACUACUGAAAGUUGAAUCUGAAAAACCUUUUUUUCUUGGUAAAGGUUUUCGCAACAUUAUGUUGCUGGUAAAUCAAAGUAAAAUACUUUACUUUGAUUUUUAAAAAAUCUUAUAGACUUGUAAGUGUACAGUCAGAGAGUGAUUUCUAAAGUGGCAUUUUAGAGUUAGGCUUGCUAAUAGCGCAAUCUGUGUUUUAACAGUUAUUUUGGUGAGUGUGUAUUUAAUUUAGAACAAUAUGUGCUCUUUUAAAAAUCUGUUCUUAAAUUGUUAUGUAAACUGCACCUUUAUAGAAAAUUAAAUAAAGGAUCAGUUAAAAAAGAA